This 545-nucleotide ribosomal RNA is filed under the name uncultured Roseibacillus sp. RNAcentral describes it as "bacterial SSU rRNA". It matches the Rfam family "Bacterial small subunit ribosomal RNA", at positions 73 to 616 of the family's 1533-position model. The record is from RNAcentral. Lineage: Bacteria; Pseudomonadati; Verrucomicrobiota; Verrucomicrobiia; Verrucomicrobiales; Verrucomicrobiaceae.
CAAUAGCUUGCUAAUGAAAUUCUUAGUGGCGGACGGGUUAGUAACACGUGAGAAUCCUACCCUUGAGUGGGGAAUAGCCUUUCGAAAGGAAGAUUAAUGCCCCAUAGUCUCUACGGAGUAAAGAUGCCUUCGGGUGUCGCUUAAGGAUGGGCUCGCGGCCUAUCAGCUAGUUGGUGAGGUAAGAGCUCACCAAGGCAACGACGGGUAGCUGGUCUGAGAGGACGAUCAGCAACACUGGAACUGAGACACGGUCCAGACACCUACGGGUGGCAGCAGUCGAGAAUCAUUCACAAUGGACGAAAGUCUGAUGGUGCAACGCCGCGUGGAGGAUGACGGCCCUAGGGUUGUAAACUCCUGUCAUCAGGGAGUAAGACUUAUUCGUUAAUAGCGUGUAAGUUUGAUAGUACCUGAAGAGGAAGGGACGGCUAACUUCGUGCCAGCAGCCGCGGUAAUACGAAGGUCCCAAGCGUUGUUCGGAAUAACUGGGCGUAAAGCGUGUGUAGGCCGCGCGGAAAGUCGGAUGUGAAAGCCCAAGGCUCAACCUU